CCCGCCCCGAUGUCAAGACAAAGCCGGCUGUCUAAGUAAAAAUGGUAUACAGUAAAACUGCGAAUGGCUCAUCCAUAACAGUUAUAGUUUAUUUGGUAAUCGAAUUUACAUGGAUAACCGUGGUAAUUCUAGAGCUAAUACAUGCUGUAAAGCCCGACUUCUCGGAAGGGCCGUAUUUAUUAGAUAACAGACCAGCAGCUUCGGCUAUUGUGGUGAAUCAUAGUAACUAAUCGGAUCGCAUGGGCUACGCCCGCGACAAACCAUUCAAGUUUCUGCCCCAUCAACUUUCGAUGGGAGUGAUUGGACUACCAUGGCUUUUCGGGUAACGAGGAUUAGGGUUAGAUUCCGGAGAGGGAACCUGAGAAGCGGCAACACAUCAAAGGAAGGCAGCAGGCGCGUAAUUACCCAAUUCUGAUUCAGAGAGGUGUGAAAGAAAUAACGGGUCGGGACAUUGUCCCGGAUUGUUUGAAACAACUUAACCCCUUUCCGUAAAAAUUGGA
RNAcentral lists this ribosomal RNA (500 nucleotides) under uncultured eukaryote. RNAcentral describes it as "SSU rRNA". It matches the Rfam family "Eukaryotic small subunit ribosomal RNA", at positions 33 to 552 of the family's 1831-position model. The record is from RNAcentral.